This 841-nucleotide ribosomal RNA is filed under the name Ebenavia inunguis. Its description in RNAcentral is "partial 12S ribosomal RNA". It matches the Rfam family "Bacterial small subunit ribosomal RNA", at positions 9 to 1384 of the family's 1533-position model. The record is from RNAcentral. Lineage: Eukaryota; Metazoa; Chordata; Lepidosauria; Squamata; Gekkonidae.
CGUUUUGGUCCUAGACUUGCUGUUGCCUAUGGCCAUAAUUACACAUGCAAGUCUCCCCCCUCCGGUGCCCACGCCCACACCCUACCACCAACACUAGACUAGGAGCAGAUAUCAGGCACACAAACCCCUGCGCCCAAAACAUCAAGCCCAUGCCACACCCCCACGGACCCCAGCAGUGAUAAACAUUAAGCAAUGAGCCAAAGCUCGACCUAGCCAUGGCCUAUUGAGCCGGCAAACUCCGUGCCAGCCGCCGCGGUUAAACGGAGGGCUCAAAUCAACCCCACCCCGGCGUAAAGCGUGACCAAAGACUAGUUAACAUACUAGGGGCCCAAACCCCAAUAUAGUAGUAAAAUGCCUAUACAACUAGAACCCCAUCGGCCCCUAAACUAAAAUUGUCUCCCCACCACGAAAACUAAGAAACAAACUAGGAUUAGAUACCCUACUAUGCUUAGUCCUAAACCUAGACAGUAAAUACAACACACUGUCCGCCAGAGAACUACAAGCAAAAACUUUAAACUCAAAGGACUUGACGGUGCCCCAUAUCAGCCUAGAGGAGCCUGUCCUAUAAUCGAUACUCCACGAUCUACCUUACCCCCCCUCGCAAAAUCAGCCUAUAUACCGCCGUCGUCAGCCCACCUUAUGACAGCCAUCACAGUGGACAGAAUAAUAAAAACCAUAAAAACGCCAGGUCAAGGUGUAGCUUACGGGGGGGCAGCGAUGGGCUACAUUUUCUAAUACUAGAAAACACAACUGUAAGCAACAUGAAAUAAACGCCCAAAGGCGGAUUUAGCAGUAAACCCAGCGCAAGCAUUGAUAAUUGAACCCCUGCCCUGGGGCGCGU